This is a non-coding RNA of Zootoca vivipara (common lizard), 4053 nucleotides long. The record is from RefSeq and is a predicted model, not a curated record. NCBI's taxonomy places the organism in Eukaryota, Metazoa, Chordata, Lepidosauria, Squamata, Lacertidae.
GGGGUUAGAGCUGGCUAGGAGGUUGUACUGAGAUGGCUAACAAGACAAAUUCAUCCAGUUUUACUUACGAUUUUGAAUAUUACAUGGAUUAUUUAGAUUUACUUCCAGUUGAUGCAGGAAAGUUGAAGGCAAACAGAUAUUCAAUUGUCAUAGCCCUUUGGAUUGGACUUGCUUCUUUUGUGGCAUUUCUUUUCCUUAUUUUGUUCUAUAUAUCUCGUUCUGGUUCUACACCCGUGAAGUAAGUACAAUGCUUUGUGUUCUAUAGAUGAAAGGAAAUGUAAGGUUGUAUGCCCCUAUGAAAGCCAGGACUUGGAUGCAAAGCAAGCAUCCUAGAUUUAUAUCCCUAAGCAUCUAAUUAAUGAAUGCUUGGGCUACGUUGCUUCUAAAAUUCUAAAAUAAUGUAUCAUACAUUCCUUGCUUCCAUUAGGCUCACAAUGGCCUGGUUUGGAUUACUGCUCCAGGGUUCCUACUGUGUCACUUCAUUGCUGCUUGUAUUAUUUCUGAAUCAGGGAACUGGGGCUAAACGUUCAUUAACAAACCAGAAUCAUGAUGACUUACUAGCUGACAUUAAACCUUAGUUCCCCAAAUCAGAUGUAAUACAAGACAGAAACCAUUGUCUGAACUGUGUGCAUGUCUUGCCUGCUAUAACCCAUCUCACACUAUUUCUCUGAGGGGGUCCAAGUAGGAAUUGCAUGUUAGUGUUCCCAAAAGUAUCUUCCUACUGGCCCUGGUGUCUAUGAAGCCCUAAUUCUGCAUGAGUCUUUUAAAGAAGUAAAGUGAAUGUAGAAAAUCGAUGAAGGGUGAUGGCUUGAAUUUUUUUCUAUUUGUUUUUGAGUCAACCAACCAUUCUAGCUGUGAGUCAGGUAUUUUGGUUUUAGUAGGCAGGCAUCUUAAAACAUACAUCAAAAGCCUUAAAAAUCAGCUUUCAAAAAUUCUGAAAAAAAUAACAGUAAAUAUUUAUUCAAAAUACAGCUUAAAAAUACACUGUAACUUUCAUGAUACAUAAUUACAAAUAAGUUAUGAGUUCUAAAAUAGUUCUCUUUAUGGCAGCCCCCCCCAUCAAGAUCUGAAAGCAUGACACACUACAUUUAAGAUUGAAAGACAGGGUGAUGAAUUAAGAAUGGGUAAAUGUCUUUGCCGAGAGAAGCUAUAGCUUCUUCAGGUUCCCAUGUUGUUUGAUCAUCAUUCUUUUGUUUACCAUUUGCUGCUUCAUGUAUCAGUUUAACAUGGGAUAUAAAUGUGUCUGGUGGCUUUGCUCCCAGCCAAAGAUCUCCAAUGUAAACAGAAGUGAGGAAUAUGCUUGCACCUAGGAAAUAAUAAAAUAAUUGUCACAAUCAAGAUCUUUUCUUAAAAGCUUCUUAAAAGUUUAUCUAUAUCCUGCAUUUACUCUGCUUAUUUUAAUUGGCAGAGUUUCCAAUACGUUUUUUUAAAUGGAACAGUCAAUACUUCAUUAAGGGCACAUUGGUUUUUUAUGUUAAACAGCACUUUAUCCCUUAGAAUAUUCCUUAACAUACUCAGGCUUAUUUAAUUUCUCAAUCAAUUUUAAUGUCACCAGAAUAUCCUAUUCUACAUUACUACCGGUAGUUAAUCUCUUAGUAUCUUCUGGAAUUACUGUAUUAUACAGCAAAAGGCAAAAUUUCAAGAAGUUUUUACGGGGGAGAAAGAUUAUAUGCUUAGUUUCCCCUCAACAUCCUUGCUGAAAAUAACAUUACCUUUCUUUGUUCUUUCUUCCUCUGUUACUGCCGAGAGGCAGAACCUUUCCACAGUCUCAUGAAAAGCAUUUUUGGUCAGGUUCUGGGAAUCUAGUAGGUGCAGCAUGAUUCCAUUAAGCAAAGAGAGAUCACUCAGUUCCAUGGCCUUCUCUUCACAGGCAUUGUAGACGGUACUGUAAAGCUUAAAUAUACCACUUUUGAGAGUUGCAUCUUUAAGAAUCUCAUUUACCACAGUGCUGUUUUGCAAAGCACUCUUUUCAAACCACUUGAAAGUCAAAAGUACAUUUUCCACGUUGAAGCUGCUGUCGAGAAGAGACUUCACUAGCCAUCUGAAUACUAAGUAAGCAAUCUUACACGUAAGACCAGGAUUGUCAUCUCCAUUGUGCUCUUUUGAAUGCUUUGCUGGCAUAUCCAGGAAUACAGGUUCCCAGUGGAGAAGCACAGAUAUCAGGAUAGAUCUGCAUUCUUCUAAAUAUUUCUCAUCCCACUCAGGUGCUGCUUCUGCUUCUAUUUCAAUUUCAUUCUUCUUCCGAACAAGUCGGGAUGAUGUUCGAAAAGGUGCUUGUGCUUUGUUUUUGUCUUUAAUGUUUUCUGUAGUAGAAGAAAACAAACAAAAUAAUUACAACAAUUUAAAGAAAAAUGAGAAAAAUUGAACUUUCUGAAAAGUAUUUGUUGGUCUCGAAGCCACCAACAUGAGUCUGACCAAAGUGCGGGAGGCAAUGGAAGACAGGAGUGCCUGGCGUGCUCUGGUCCAUGGGGUCACAAAGAGUCGGACACGACUAAAUGACUAAACAACAACAAUUGUGAAAAAAUUUUCUCAGUGGGUACUUGGAUGUCUCCAAGUUGCAGCGAGCAGAUGUCUUCACAUUGGUACAGGAGAGGUUUCAAAAGGUGCAAACUGAUUUUUUUCUUGUCUGUGUGCAACCAUCAUCUUGCACCUGUCUUAACCUCUCCUGCACUGCUGUGAAGACAUAUGCACACCUAGGGAGAAUGGUAAUAAAUGAAUCAAUUCAGUAUUUAUUUAAAAGCUGACAGUGAGACAGGACAGAUAGAACCUCCUGCUGAAUUGUGCUUAUAAAGUUGAAAGUAACAGGUUAAAAGUUCAACCAAAUCCCAACAAAAUAAAUAGCUCAGUUGCAGGAAGCCCAGACCUGAACAUUUAUCUUGAGAUUAUUAUCACUCCAUAUAUUUUGCAUGAAUGCAGCCAAAAAUAUUUUCUCUAAGCAAAUCUUAUUAUAACCCCUAUCUUUUAAAUCUACAUUAACAAAAGCAAUUUCCCACUUUUUCCUUAAUAAUGAGAACUCUUUUUUUUUAUUUAACCAUCUCAGUGCUGUUUUAUAUUUGGGAUCACACAAACUAAAAUGGUUUCUGCUUCCACACAAGUCUCUGCUUCUUAAUUAUCCACCCCCACAAAGGCUCAGGAAAGGGAAAAGUGAUUAGUUAAGGGCUUGACUGUCCUAAGCAGAUCCUGGCAAACUGACAUAAUGAAACUCACUUAGAGCCUCACUUUAUAUAAAGAGCAUAUGGUGAUGUUCUAUUAAGUUUACCACUAGACAAAAAAUACAUAGUGCAAGGGAGAUAUGAAAUCCUUUUUCUUGGAUCAUGUAUGAUGUUAUUAAUGAAGUGCAUAUAUAUUUUUAAUGAUUUCUACUCCUUUUUCCAACUUCCCGAGGAAGCCUGUCUGGGGCCAACAAUAAUAUCUUUUUAGUGUGAGGUUAAGGACUUCCUCUUCUUCCAUGCAUUUGAUGAAAUAUGAUGAGCUGGCUGUUAUGUUCAGUAUUUUCAGAAUUCAGCAGAAAAUAGCUGACCUUACUUAAAACACAUGAUGUGUAUAGAACUUACUAAGCAAUUCUUUUGUUUGGUACUGUUGAGCAAAUAUCUGAAGAACAUCUUGAAGUUCCACAUCUUUGCCAAUUAUGCUCCACUUGUGCAAGAGAAGCAGAACAUCUUUGUUGGAAAGGACAUGCUCAUUCACAGUGAAUCUUCCCAUUUGUCUGAAGGCCUCAAAAACCACAAGGCGGUAUUCCAAUACAGAACUCAACGUGCUGAAAAACUGAAUCAAUAUGGCAGAAUCCAAGUUGGUCCUAUUUGGCAGGAGAUGGAGAAAAAAAGGUUACAAUGCUCAAGCCAAAUGGAAAGUCUCCAACAGAUCUGAUAAAGAUGAAGAAAGAAGGAAAAAACCACAUGAUGCUGCAAACAAGAGACAUAAAAACCUAAAUUCCAGAUGUGCCAGUAUUUUGUGAUGCUGCUAAAUAUAAUACACAUUUUCAUCAUUUUUCUGCAUUCAGAAUGUGACUUCUUAUACAGUCACAAGAAGUCACAUACUGAAUGGGGGGGGGGG